GAUGAAGAACGUAGUGAAAUGCGAUACUUGGUGUGAAUUGCAGAAUCCCGUGAACCAUCGAGUCUUUGAACGCAAGUUGCGCCCGAAGCCAUUAGGCCGAGGGCACGCCUGCCUGGGCGUCCCACGUCGUUGCCCCCCCAUCUACUCCUUCGGGAUUGCGGGGGGCGGAUGAUGGCCUCUCGUGCGCCUCGUCGCGCGGUUGGCCUAAAUGCCAAGUCCUCGGCGACGCACGCCACGACAAUCGGUGGUUGCGAAACCUCGGUUGCCUGUCGUGUGCGGUCGUCGCGCAUCGAGGGCUCGAAAAAAUUGCCGGGCUUCGGCUCGACUUUCAACGCGACCCCAGGUCAGGCGGGGUUACCCGCUGAAUUUAAGCAUAUCAAUAAGCGGAGGA
RNAcentral lists this unclassified non-coding RNA (391 nucleotides) under soil metagenome. RNAcentral describes it as "partial contains 5.8S ribosomal RNA, internal transcribed spacer 2, and large subunit ribosomal RNA". The stretch from base 1 to 122 matches the Rfam family "5.8S ribosomal RNA", at positions 35 to 154 of the family's 154-position model. The record is from RNAcentral.